This 496-nucleotide ribosomal RNA is filed under the name uncultured bacterium. Its description in RNAcentral is "partial 16S ribosomal RNA". It matches the Rfam family "Bacterial small subunit ribosomal RNA", at positions 29 to 507 of the family's 1533-position model. The record is from RNAcentral.
ACGAACGCUGGCGGCGUGCCUCAUACAUGCCAGUAGAACGCUGAAGAGAGGAGCUUGCUCUUCUUGGAUGAGUUGCGAACGGGUGAGUAACGCGUAGGUAACCUUCCUGGUAGCGGGGGAUAACUAUUGGAAACGAUAGCUAAUACCGCAUAAAAUGGAUUAUCGCAUGAUAAUCCAUUGAAAGGUGCAAAUGCAUCACUACCAGAUGGACCUCCGUUGUAUUAGCUAGUUGGUGGGGUAACGGCUCACCCAGGCGACGAUACAUAGCCGACCUGAGAGGGGGGUCGGCCACACUGGGACUGAGACACGGCCCAGAAUCCUGAGGGAGGGAGCAGUAGGGAAUCUUCGGCAAUGGACGGAAGUCUGAAAGAGCAAAGCCGCGGGAGUGAAGAAGGGUUUCGGAUCGUAAAGCUCUGUUGUAAGAGAAGAACGAGUGUGAGAGUGGAAAGUUCACACUGUGACGGUAUCUUACCAGAAAGGGACGGCUAACUACGUG